GAGACACCCAUGUCAUUGAACAAGAGGUUCUAAUAUUACAUAACAGAGCAGGACUUAUAAAGAUACAAUGAGAAGAUGGCCUUCUGCAAACCAAGGAAAGAGACCUCAUCAGGGUAGUGGUAUGUAGCUGUAGUGGUAUGUGCUCUCUCUCAAUGCUGAGCUGCAGCUCCCAGUCAGCCACUGGAUCAUGAGGGUAAAAUACGGAUACUUGACAUCUUCUUAAAGAACAUCAUGCCUGCUAAGCCAUCCAGUUUGGAUGCCCCAGUGCCUUCCACCAGCCAUUCUCAAGCCUCAUUAGAAGAGAGAGAUUGAUGACCCUGUAGCUGCAGCAUCCCAUCAUCCUGCAUUUUAGUUCAAUGCUUCAAACGUUCUUCAGGCCCAGUGUGCUUUCAGCUGUGUAUGUUAAUUUAGAAGCAACAAUCGCAGACAAAGAGUACAACUUGUUUUUGAAGACUCAAACUGAAACACUGGCCCUUCCUGAGUCUCAAGCCUGCUGGCCUUUGGGCUGGAACUAAACCCUCAGCUCUCCUGUGUCUCCAACCUGCCCGCUCUGCCUAGUGAUCUUGGGACUUCCCAGUAGUUCCGGAGCAACAGUUCACGAUGUGAGUCUCCACACACUGCUCUGUCUGUCUGCAUGGCAGCUAGAAUCUAAUCCUGCCUCCUGUCUGCCAUGAGCCUAAAAAAGCUUCCAGAACCAGGAGACCAUAACUCUCUCUUGUUUAAGUCACCCAGUGUGUGAUGCUUUGUGACAGGCAGCCCUGGCAAAUGAAUAAGCUGCCAGGGAACAGGAACUCCCAUUGUGGAAUUCACAGAAGUGAGAAAUAAAUAUUUGGUGCAUCUCCUGCUGUUCCCAAUCUACUCAUCCUAGGAACCAACUCAGGUAUGUUUAUGAGUUUAUGGGGGUAGUUUAUCAUACAGUACUUGUAAUAU
Molecule: long non-coding RNA, 930 nt
Filed under: Homo sapiens (human)
Lineage: Eukaryota; Metazoa; Chordata; Mammalia; Primates; Hominidae
Description: long non-coding RNA NONHSAT156620.1
Source: RNAcentral